UUGACGGGCCGGGCCGCCGCCGGCAUAAGCUGGAGGAAAGUCCGGGCUCCGCAGGGGAUGAUGCCGGGUAACGCCCGGGCACUCAGGUGACAGCCAGUGCCGCAGAAAAAAUACCGCCGCGGUUUUCCGCGGUAAGGGUGAAAAGGCGAGGUAAGAGCUCACCGGUUUCAGGGUAACCUGAAAUGCAAGGUAAACCUCAUCAGGAGCAAGUUCAAGCAGCGGACAGGUUCCCCGCCUUGAGUCCGCGGGUAGAGCGCUGAGAAUUCAGCCGGUAACGGCUGAAUAAGAUAGAUGGCGGCCGUAAACAGAACCCGGCUUACCGGCCCGUUUUUUGU
Molecule: RNase P RNA, 335 nt
Filed under: Spirochaetales bacterium
Lineage: Bacteria; Pseudomonadati; Spirochaetota; Spirochaetia; Spirochaetales
Description: RNase P RNA component class A
Rfam family: Bacterial RNase P class A
About the family: Ribonuclease P (RNase P) is a ubiquitous endoribonuclease, found in archaea, bacteria and eukarya as well as chloroplasts and mitochondria. Its best characterised activity is the generation of mature 5'-ends of tRNAs by cleaving the 5'-leader elements of precursor-tRNAs. Cellular RNase Ps are ribonucleoproteins.
Source: RNAcentral